Larimichthys crocea (large yellow croaker) is the source of this 496-nucleotide long non-coding RNA. RefSeq lists it as uncharacterized. NCBI's taxonomy places the organism in Eukaryota, Metazoa, Chordata, Actinopteri, Sciaenidae. The transcript has 3 exons. The record is from RefSeq and is a predicted model, not a curated record.
UAAAACAUUGUGAAUUAAUUUAUUCAUGUCUAACUUCAAUGUUCCUCUGUUUGCUUUCAGUACAAACAUCACGACCAACAACACCACCACCAGCACCAACACCAACACCAACAUCAACACCAACACCCACAUCUCGUGUUUCUUCAGCCCAGUCUACGACUACUUCAACAUCCGCUGAGAACAAUGAAAGGCGCAUCAUUACUGUGACUGUCUGUGUAGGUGUGCUGCUGCUGCUGGUGCCGUUUGUGCUCAUUUUGUUCAUCAUCUACAAACGACUCUCACAUUCAAAAAACACAAGAAAUGCAGCGCCAACACAGAACAUCAGAGAGGUUAGUGCAUUACUCUGUAACGCUGUGUGUUGUGGUACUGUAGAUAGAUGGUAUUCAUAUUAGAGCCCAGCCACUUUGAGACCAGGGAUAUGGUGACAGAUUUAAUGUGUUUUUGAUCUGGAAUGAAAAUAGAACUUUUUGUCUGGAUAUAAUAUGAUAUAUUGAAC